UGCAUUGUGUGCAUGAGUGUGUACAUAUAUUUUUGUGUGUGCAUGUGUGUGCAUGUGUAUGACUGUGUGUAGGCAGGAGUGUAUUUGCAUGUGUGUACAUGUGAAUGCAUAUGUGUGCAUGUGUGUAAUUACGUGGGUGGGCAUGGUGUGUGUAAAUGUGUGUGCACAAGUGUGUGAGGGCGUGUGUGCAUGUGUGGUGUGUGUACCUGUGUGCAUGUGUGUGUAAUUGCAUGUGUGCAUGGUGUGUGUAAAUGUGUGUGCACAAUGUGUGAGGGUAUGUGCAUGUGCGCUGUAUGUACCUGUGUGCACGUGUGUAAUCACACGUGAGUGUGCAUGGCACAUGUAAAUGUGUGUGCACAAGUGUGUGGG
RNAcentral lists this long non-coding RNA (369 nucleotides) under Homo sapiens (human). RNAcentral describes it as "long non-coding RNA NONHSAT230235". The record is from RNAcentral. Lineage: Eukaryota; Metazoa; Chordata; Mammalia; Primates; Hominidae.